RNAcentral lists this ribosomal RNA (760 nucleotides) under uncultured bacterium. Its description in RNAcentral is "bacterial SSU rRNA". It matches the Rfam family "Bacterial small subunit ribosomal RNA", at positions 8 to 751 of the family's 1533-position model. The record is from RNAcentral.
AGAGUCUGAUCCUGGCUCAGGAUGAACGCUGGCGGCGUGCCUAACACAUGCAAGUCGAACGAGCGAUAAGAGCUGAUUCUUCGGAUGAAGCACUUAUCUGCGAGUGGCGGACGGGUGAGUAACGCGUGGGGAACCUGCCUUCUUCUGGGGGAUAGCAAUCGGAAACGAUUGAUAAUACCGCAUAAGACCACGAAGCCGCAUGGCUUUGAGGUAAAAGAUUUAUCGGAAGAAGAUGGACCCGCGUAUGAUUAGCCGGUUGGCGGGGUAACGGCCCACCAAAGCAACGAUCAUUAGCCGGCCUGAGAGGGCGGACGGCCACAUUGGGACUGAGACACGGCCCAGACUCCUACGGGAGGCAGCAGUGGGGGAUAUUGCACAAUGGAGGAAACUCUGAUGCAGCGACGCCGCGUGAGUGAAGAAGUAUUUCGGUAUGUAAAGCUCUAUCAGCAGGGAAGAAAGGCCCCCCUUGCGGGGAGAUGACGGUACCUGAGUAAGAAGCCCCGGCUAACUACGUGCCAGCAGCCGCGGUAAUACGUAGGGGGCGAGCGUUAUCCGGAUUUACUGGGUGUAAAGGGAGCGCAGACGGAAUGGCAAGUCUGAUGUGAAAGCCCGGGGCUCAUCCCCGGGACUGCAUUGGAAACUGUCAAUCUGGAGUGUCGGAAGGGCAAGCGGAAUUCCUGGUGUAGCGGUGAAAUGCGUAGAUAUCAGGAGGAACACCGGUGGCGAAGGCGGCUUGCUGGACGAUAACUGACGUUGGAGG